Long non-coding RNA from Anopheles gambiae (African malaria mosquito), 3582 nucleotides. RefSeq lists it as uncharacterized. Lineage: Eukaryota; Metazoa; Arthropoda; Insecta; Diptera; Culicidae. The record is from RefSeq and is a predicted model, not a curated record. The transcript has 2 exons.
CCGGGGCUCUGGCUGCGGUCAACCCGGGGAGUAAACAACAAACAACAACAGUGUGCGGCGCCCAGUACACGUAGAAGCGGGUAGCGGCCAGGCCCUCGCUCUGAGUAGCGUAAUGCAGCAACAAAAAAAAACACACACACACACACUUACUGAGGUGCAGGAAGAAAGCACUGGCGUACUAUGUCAUAAUUUAAAAGGCCAGCGUAUCAUGCUAGGCCUGUCAAACGAUAUUGGGAGAUAAUGCAGCGGGCCGUGUACGAUAAAAGGACACAAUAAAAACAGCACGCCAGGUGGGUGGGAUUUGAAGUGUGUGGCUGGGGAGGGAGGCGAGUGGUCGGAGGAGUUGUCGGUAUGGGCCAUUGCGAUGGCCAUCCCCCUUUUUUUUUCUUCAAAACCACUCAAGAUAAGCGUACGCGAAUGUCAGAUGGUCGAUACGGAAAACGAUCGAAAACAAAAAGAAAAUGUCAUUUUGCUACUAUCACUAAGAAAAUGUCGCCACAUAGGAAGGGUGGGAGCUCCCCUUCUCGACUUCAGAUGACUGUGAGAAUUCUUCCAAUUUGAAUAGCGUCCCUCAUAUUCAGUUCUUCGACAAUGAGACAGGAUGUUAAGGUGGUGUAAUACUUAAGUCGAAUUCCCAUCUCCAGAAUUUUGGAAGAUUCUCCAAAUCUCAUCUCCAGAUUCCCAACCCGACCGUAGAUAUGUCGUUACACAACAGCAAAAAGAUCUCCAAAACUAAUACACGAGUUUCAGAGUUCCAGAAACAUUGUUGUCCCUUAAAAAAAAAGUAAAAUUUUCGUUCAAAUAAGUGUCAACACGUUAUUUGUUAUUUGUACAGAGAUUUUUACUUGAUUUUACUACCCCAUAUCGGUCCUGUAACUGAUCAUGAACCUAGAACCAAUCAUGAAUUCAUACCGGCCAUGUAACUGAUCAUAAAUCCACACCAGUCCUGGAACCGAUCUUAAACCGGUCCAAGAACCGAUCAAAAACUCACACUGGUACUGGAACCGGUCAUGAACCCAAACCAGUACUGGAACCAAUCAUGAACUCAUCCUGAUCUUGAAACCGAUCAUGAAUCCAUACUGGUGCUGGAACUGAUAAUGCACCCAUAACGGACCUGGAGCGGAUACUGAAUCCUAAUCGGUUCUGGAACCAAUCAUGAACUCAUCCUGGUUCUGAAACCGACCGUAAACCCAUACCGAUCCUACAACUGAUGCUGAACUCAUACCAGUCCUGAAAUCGCUUCCGAUGUUAUUUCGUUCCUGGAACAGUACCUGGACAUGUUUCGGAUUAGAAUCGAAACAUGAACCGGAUUCGUAACUAGUCCGGAUCUGGAACCGAUAGAGUCCCAGUUCCGAUCGAGGAACUGAUUCUGCUGGUCGACAAACCAUACCCCGCAGUAUCAGUGCAGCGUAGCAACUAGCGUAGGAGCUUUAGCUCAAUUUGUACAGUAAUACUUCUUUGAUUUCGCAACAUUGGAGAUGUGAUAUUGUGGGCUGCGAAGGUUGUCUUAAGCGCGAAAGCGUUCUGUUUCUGCGAUCCUGUUAAAUUAAACGUGCUAUGCUUGCGAAAACAAGUAAAAAAACCUGUAAGCCGCUGCUAUACUGUAUGUUGUUGUUAGUAUGGUUUAGAGAGACUUUGGCUCCUGCGGAGUUCUUUCGCCUAAAGCUGCUAUACUGUAUAAUAACUAAAACAAUAUCAAAAAGAUUUAACGUUUCAAUUAUGUGUUGACUCAUACGGCCGUGUUGCCGGCUACCAAUCACGCUAUAAACGCGUCCAAACACGUUCAAUAUCAAGUAACCCGACCGAACGAUACACUCUCCGAGAACUUGUCAAAAUGUCGGCACGCGCAACGCUGCUUCCCCAUCAGAUUCACGUGUACAAGUGCACUCGUUUUUUUGGCGCCAAAACGUGUUGAUGAAGCAGUGAAUAGAGAUAGUGCACAUGUUUCAAUGGAACUACUGUUGAAUUAUUUGCUUAUUGUGAUUCGUUAAUUCUGUUUAGUUUGCUUAUCGUGUUUGGUCGAUAAAAAUAAAUAAAUAAUGAAAUAAAAUUAAUAAAAUUUACAAAAAUAGUAUCAAGUAACGAUUUUUCAGUUCAUUAAUCAAUUGAAAGAUCGUUACUUGAUUAAUUCAAUAAUCUUCUUUUGUAAUUGCUGUAAAUGUUGAUAAUUUCGGCAGGUAAAUAAAAAGUUUGGAUUUUAAUUUUGAAAAAAUAAAAUAAUACUUUAAAAAUAAUUUUACCAACACGCUAUCUCGAAUCGCUCCUUUAGUUGGCACUCAUCGACAUUGGUCGUGUAGUAUUCGUACACCACUCACGCGCUGCGUUUUUGAGAGCUCUAUUCGGGUGCUUCAGGGCAUGCGCUCGGGUUGCGUGAGUGCUCCACGAGGGCCUCCUGGUACAAUGCAUGCCACUGUUUUAUGUGCAACAUAUUUUAGGCGUUUUUGAAUGUUUUGAUGUGCUUAUUAGGAGAAAAGGCUGCUAUAACGUGAUUUAAAAUCAUGAAAUAUUAACGUUGGCAUCAUAUGAUACAUGAAUCUAGCUAUAUAAAGCAGUCUUGGCUGUAAUUCACGUGUAUAAUUGUGAUAAAUACGUAUGUUUAGAAAUUUUCAGUUCGAAUAAAUGUUGAUUUUUAGUUUUAAAUUAUUACCAUGCCCUUUCGUGUUAAACAUUGCUAUUUUACACUUUUUUGUAUUUGUUAAAUAAAAUAAUUUUCUUUUCAAUCUAACCUAAUUAGUAAGCCGGCAGUGUAAAUUCUGGCUCACUCGGGAGGAAAAUGAGCUCUACUACUUCUAAAAUUGGCAUGCGCUACGACUUUGAGCACCUUUGAGUGUCAUAAAACCGGUUAUUUGGCACUCACAGAUCAUGAGAUGCUUGGCAAUUUAUCCAUUCCCCACUGUGCCGGUAUUGCCAAUGGUCACUCACUUAGUUAUAAUUGGAUUCUCGGCUCAGCCGGCCGGUCGCUAAUUGAACAGCACGUGAUAGCAAAGAGCUGCGUUCGCCUAAAACUGUUUAACGAAUUGCAGCACUCAUUUUGUGGAGCUCUUCAAGUUGGAUCCCAAAUAUGCACGGAGUGAGUCUGUCUGCUCGUGGGGGUAAACUUAACCCUUACAUCAAACAGAAACAUACCUUGCUACAAUUCACCAAUAUCAUUUCACUUACUGAUUCACAUAUAGCAGGACAGCCAGGAUAGCGUAGUGCUCGAUCCAUACGAGACUAGUCAACCGUACACCGAAGGGUUAAGCCGGCCGGCUUGCAUGCACACACACAGUACUUUCACUCGCAAUAAAAUCCGUUAGGCUUGAAAUACCGGUCUGGUGGUACAGUCGUGAACUCGUACGACUAAACAACAUGCCCGCCAUGGGUUCAAGCCUCGAAUGGACCGUGGCCCCAUGCAUAGGACUUGACUAUCCUGUUAUGUGUAAUCAGUCAGGCGUUUAAACGACAUUGCGACGAACUCUAGUAUACAGAUGCGUGCCAGUAUGGACCUUGAAAAUACUGACCCCGCUGCUGAACUGCCUGCCAUGAUGGGUCAUUGAAAUUAAGUAGUGUAAAAGCAUUUUAAAUAAAACCCUUUAACACCAA